RNA transcript from Syzygium oleosum, 1159 nucleotides. RefSeq lists it as uncharacterized. The record is from RefSeq and is a predicted model, not a curated record. The transcript is spliced from 2 exons. Lineage: Eukaryota; Viridiplantae; Streptophyta; Magnoliopsida; Myrtales; Myrtaceae.
UUGGGUGAGUAGUUCAUUACAUUCCUCAAAAAGUCUUCUCAAAGCCCAUGGGCUGAGGGGCGGAUGUUCUGUAAAACUAACAGUGGCUGCACUGUCGGUCAAAAUUGUCACAUGCUCUGCCAGACUAUCUUCCUUUUCGGCCAAUUCACGCAGACAGAGGAUGGCUUCCUUCACCGCAGUACCUUCGACUUCCAGAGGAGAGCUAGCAACCGCCCCUUUAGUAAACCCUGUUAUAAUCAAACCUCUGGAAUCUCUACAAACACCACUCACCGAUCCCUCUACCAGGUAUUGCGUUCGGUUGGGUUUUGCAAGCGGUUGAAUCUGCUCAGAUUGAUAGCUUCAUCAACGAUAACACCCGAUUUUGGGGAAAUCUGUUGGAACACCUGGGCAUUUCUGGCCUUCCAGAUCUGCCAAAGGAUACCAGCGAGCAGUUCUUGGAGAGCCGAGAAACCGCCAGUAAGUGCUUCAUCUAACCACUUAUCCAUUCUUGUCAAGUUUGUCGGAGAAACAUCCAUCUGUAUUCUCUGAUCAGACCAAAUAUGCUUGAUCCAAUCGCACAGGAUGAAGGUGUGCUCCAUCGUUUCUGGAGCUUGCUGGCAAAUUGGGCAAAGCGGGUCAGUAAUUACCUUCCUUUUGUAUAAAUUCUCCUUUGUAGGUAGAGCAUUCCGGCACACACCCCACAAGAAGAAUCGGAUUUUUGGUUCGGUGUUUAAUUUCCAUAUUUUAGACCAUAGAGAACGGGGCUGCUGAUAUGAUGAUGAUGCUUGUGCUGUGUUUUGCUUGGGUAUAGAUGCUCGAAUUCUGGAAUAUCCAUGUCUGACCGUGUAUUCCCCUGUUGUAUUGCCGGUCCAUAUUUGUUUAUCGCUUUCCGGACUUGGCUGAAUGCGUGUGGUUAGGAUUUCGCUGACAACCUCCUCCUGAAACAACCUUCUUUGUUUUCCUUCCAUGUUCUUGUCCUCUGAUCGAUUAAAUUUGCGACUAUUUGCGGGUCAUCCCUAUUUGCUGGGCCACCAAUCAGUUUCUGAUUCAGCCAUUGAUCCUCUCUUAUAUUGAUACUAUCUCCAUUCCCCACCGACCAUUUAAUAUCCAAGCUUAUGGCGUCCCUGCCCAUUAUCAAACUUUGCCACCCCCACGACGGUCGGGAGCCAUUUCUGGCUUU